GGGUAGAGUAAUGCGUGACCAACCUGCCCCAUGCUCCAGAAUAGCUCUUGGAAACGGGUGGUAAUGCUGGAUGCUCCAACUUGACGCAUGUCUUGUUGGGAAAGUGUUUAGUGGCAUGGGAUGGGGUCGCGUCCUAUCAGCUUGUAGGCGGGGUAAUGGCCCACCUAGGCUUCGACGGGUAGCCGGCCUGAGAGGGCGGACGGCCACAUUGGGACCGAGAUACGGCCCAGACUCCUACGGGAGGCAGCAGCA
This 252-nucleotide ribosomal RNA is filed under the name uncultured Gardnerella sp. RNAcentral's name for it is "partial 16S ribosomal RNA". It matches the Rfam family "Bacterial small subunit ribosomal RNA", at positions 100 to 355 of the family's 1533-position model. The record is from RNAcentral. Lineage: Bacteria; Bacillati; Actinomycetota; Actinomycetes; Bifidobacteriales; Bifidobacteriaceae.